Molecule: ribosomal RNA, 255 nt
Filed under: uncultured bacterium
Lineage: Bacteria
Description: partial 16S ribosomal RNA
Rfam family: Bacterial small subunit ribosomal RNA
Source: RNAcentral
UACAGAGGUCUCAAGCGUUGUUCGGAUUCAUUGGGCGUAAAGGGGUGCGUAGGCGGCGCGGUAAGUCGGGUGUGAAAUCUCGGAGCUUAACUCCGAAACUGCAUUCGAUACUGCCGUGCUUGAGGACUGGAGAGGAGACUGGAAUUUACGGUGUAGCGGUGAAAUGCGUAGAUAUCGUAAGGAAGACCAGUGGCGAAGGCGGGGUCUCUGGACAGUUCCUGACGCUGAGGCACGAAGGUCAGGGGAGCAAACGGG